This 1311-nucleotide long non-coding RNA is filed under the name Apteryx haastii (Great spotted kiwi). RNAcentral's name for it is "lncRNA (ENSAHAG00000002268.1)". Lineage: Eukaryota; Metazoa; Chordata; Aves; Apterygiformes; Apterygidae. The record is from RNAcentral.
AUGCCACCGAAGGCUCGGGGCUGUUUUGGGCACCCAGCCACAGAAGGGAGGCAGCUGGGGGUGUGGGGGGGCAGCCGGGAUGCGGCGGGACAGAGGCCGAGGACGGCUGGGGGGUCCCUGCGGCCCCAGGCGUGCCCCCAGGGCCAGCUGCAGUCUCAGCGGCAGCCUGUCRCGCUAAUGAGCCCCGGCACCGGGCGGGCUCGCUGCCACCCGCAGCCGGCUCCUGGGGCCAUCCCGCGGGGCUCAGCACCGCCGGGCACCGCCGCUGGAUGCACCGCUCCGAGAGCGCGGGGGGACGGAUCUUGGUGCGCUGCUCCUCCCGCGCUGUCCGGAGGCGUUGCACCCUUUGGGGGGGAGGUCUGGGGCGCGCUGGCCCCAGCUCGCACCCACUGUGGCCCGAUCCCCACCCCAGCUCACGGCCCUGCCCUGCGCCGGGCCGGCGUGCAUGGCCCCGGCACCCCACGCGGGCUGGCACACGGCUGCGAGCGACCUGCGUGGCCGUGCCCAGCCGCGUGUGCUCGCGUUUUUGUGCAGACCCGCGGGCUACCACGGCCCCGGCCCAGUGAGCCCAUCGGCCCCGGGCUCGGGGUGUCCCCAAGGCGGAGGACGGGGGGGGCACACGUGCCAUUGGGCGUGCAGGCGGCAGAGCCGUGCGCAGCGGGGCAGGAGCCUCCGCUCAGCCCACGUUCCCGUCAGGGAAGCCGGCCAGCAGCUCCUCAAGGCCUUUCUGCGGGGGCUCGUCAGGGCGAGCUUCACCCGGUGCCUGACGUCCCCCCGAAGGGGCCCUGGGGGGCCGGUGCAUGCCGAGCGCUGCCUUCCGCAGGCGGUUGCAGGCUGCCGGCAGAGGUGUCCCCCCGCGGCCCCCGGCACGCAGCCCGAUGRCCUGACGCUCAGCAGCUCCCGUCCUUCCCGGCCGCUGGCGGGACAGGGCUUGCACGGAGCUGGCCCCGCCGGUACCUCGUGGCACACCGUGGCCACGCUCGCCGGCGGAGAUGGCCAUGCAACGCGCCGCGGCAGCCCGGCGGCGAACAAUUCCCUCUCCCCGUGCGUCCCCCAUCUGUCUUGGGGCCUUUCGCUGUGGAAGAAGCCGCUUGGAAGAGGUUCCUGCUGGGAAGCAAGAUUAAUUACUGCCUCCGUCCCACGCCUCGGGCUGCCAGGGGAAGGUGCCCGGCGGUGCUUGGGCUUGGCUGCAUCCCAAGCCCACACCACCCUGCCCGUUCCUUCCUCCCACCCUGCAGGCAAGGGCAGGCGUCCUCUACCUCAGCUAUCCUCAGCCCCUGCUUUCCCCAGUUCAUGCCAUCGCUUUUUUGA